AGUGAACGCUGGCGGUAUGCCUAACACAUGCAAGUCGAACGGCAGCACAGUAAGAUCUUGCUCUUACGGGUGGCGAGUGGCGGACGGGUGAGGAAUACAUCGGAAUCUACUUUUUCGUGGGGGAUAACGUAGGGAAACUUACGCUAAUACCGCAUACGACCUACGGGUGAAAGCAGUGGAGCUUCGGACCUUUCGCGAUUCAUUUAGCCGAUGUCGGAUUAGCUAGUUGGCUGGGUAAAGGCCCACCAAGGCGACGAUCCGUAGCUGGUCUGAGAGGAUGAUCAGCCACACUGGAACUGAGACACGGUCCAGACUCCUACGGGAGGCAGCAGUGGGGAAUAUUGGACAAUGGGCGCAAGCCUGAUCCAGCAAUACCGCGUGGGUGAAGAAGGCCUUCGGGUUGUAAAGCCCUUUUGUUGGGAAAGAAAAACAGCAGGUUAAUACCCCGCUGUUCUGACGGUACCCAAAGAAUAAGCCCCGGCUAACUUCGUG
RNAcentral lists this ribosomal RNA (492 nucleotides) under uncultured bacterium. RNAcentral describes it as "partial 16S ribosomal RNA". It matches the Rfam family "Bacterial small subunit ribosomal RNA", at positions 29 to 507 of the family's 1533-position model. The record is from RNAcentral.